RNAcentral lists this ribosomal RNA (255 nucleotides) under Triticum aestivum (bread wheat). RNAcentral describes it as "partial small subunit ribosomal RNA". Lineage: Eukaryota; Viridiplantae; Streptophyta; Magnoliopsida; Poales; Poaceae. The record is from RNAcentral.
CGAUACAUCCUGAGCACUGAGUUUGGGGACAGAGGAAUGGCAUGCACCCGCUUCUGGCACUGAAGCAGCUGGCAGGCAAACCCCAUGUUCGGAUUCGCGAUCCCCCUGGCAGCCUUCACAAACUGGAAUGCGUCAUCGAAGCUCUGCCCUUCCCUCCACAUCAAAUACGCUAUCACCAGCGAUGUCGAGCGCGACACCCCCUGGCAGCAAUGCACGAACACGCGCCCAGCCUGCUCCCUCACGUCCUCGAAGUAA